AUAAAACAAGGUAAACGUGCCGGUCGUUGUCCUCGUCACCUCGGCUGAAGAGGACCUUAAUUGGUCCUAGAACGGCCUGAGGUAGAGGGGUUUUAGUCGGUAGGUCCGAGGACUUCUUCCUCGGGAAUUCGACACUACCCAGUCGUACGGACGGCUGGGUGUCUUUUGAAGACUUCCCCUCUUCCACGAAA
Molecule: non-coding RNA, 191 nt
Organism: Agrilus planipennis (emerald ash borer)
Lineage: Eukaryota; Metazoa; Arthropoda; Insecta; Coleoptera; Buprestidae
Source: Rfam